Molecule: long non-coding RNA, 2922 nt
Organism: Rana temporaria (common frog)
Lineage: Eukaryota; Metazoa; Chordata; Amphibia; Anura; Ranidae
Exons: 3
Source: RefSeq, a predicted model, not a curated record
GUACCUAAAUAAUAAUGCCGGGGUUUGGGUUCAGCCUCAUUCAGAAUGGAAGGAUUCCGGCAAUCCGAGGAAUUUAAUGAGCAAGCAGCCAGCUAAACAAAAGGAAUGGCGGAUUCAUCCUGACACCCGGGAAAUGCGUGUCGCCUGACGUGACUCUACGGGAGGAUUUCAGGUCUGGCCGGCGUCUCACUUGUAAAAAAUGUGAAGUUUACCUUCCGCCGCCCCGAAAACAAACAUUCGCUCUUUUCUUAUGGAGUGCAGCGAAUAAAAGGUGUUUGUGGUGCUGGGAAGGAUGUCACGCCCAGAGCGCGCUGCGCUUCUCCUUCUAUGGGCUGUGUACACACACCGCUCGCCGUCUACACAACACUGAAUGGGAGAUCUAGACGCACACGCCGCUCGCCGUCUACACAACACUGAAUGGGAGAUCUGGACGCACACGUCGCUCGCCGUCUACACAACAAUAAAUGGGAGAUCUGGACGCACACGCCGCUCGCCGUCUACACAACACUGAAUGGGAGAUCUGGACGCACACGCUGCUCGGCGUCUACACAACACUGAAUGGGAGAUCUGGACGCACACGCCGCUCGCCGUCUACACAACACUGAAUGGGAGAUCUGGACGCACACGCCGCUCGCCGUCUACACAACACUGAAUGGGAGAUCUGGACGCACACGCCGCUCGCCGUCUACACAACAAUGAAUGGGAGAUCUGGACGCACACGCCGCUCGCCGUCUACACAACACUGAAUGGGAGAUCUGGACGCACACGCCGCUCGCCGUCUACACAACACUGAAUGGGAGAUCUGGACGCACACGCCGCUCGCCGUCUACACAACAAUGAAUGGGAGAUCUGGACGCACACGCCGCUCGCCGUCUACACAACACUGAAUGGGAGGUCUGGACGCACACGCCGCUCGCCGUCUACACAACACUGAAUGGGAGAUCUGGACGCACACGCCGCUCGCCGUCUACACAACACUGAAUGGGAGAUCUGGACGCACGCGGCGCUCGCCGUCUACACAACACUGAAUGGGAGAUCUGGACGCACACGGCGCUCGCCGUCUACACAACACUGAAUGGGAGAUCUGGACGCACACGCCGCUCGCCGUCUACACAACACUGAAUGGGAGAUCUGGACGCACACGGCGCUCGCCGUCUACACAACACUGAAUGGGAGAUCUGGACACACACGCCGCUCGCCGUCUACACAACACUGAAUGGGAGAUCUGGACGCACACGCCGCUCGCCGUCUACACAACACUGAAUGGGAGAUCUGGACGCACACGCCGCUCGCCGUCUACACAACACUGAAUGGGAGAUCUGGACGCACACGUCGCUCGCCGUCUACACAACACUGAAUGGGAGAUCUGGACGCACACGCCGCUCGCCGUCUACACAACACUGAAUGGGAGAUCUGGACGCACACGCCGCUCGCCGUCUACACAACACUGAAUGGGAGAUCUGGACGCACACGCCGCUCGCCGUCUACACAACACUGAAUGGGAGAUCUGGACGCACACGCCGCUCGCCGUCUACACAACACUGAAUGGGAGAUCUGGACGCACACGCCGCUCGCCGUCUACACAACACUGAAUGGGAGAUCUGGACGCACACGCCGCUCGCCGUCUACACAACACUGAAUGGGAGAUCUGGACGCACACGCCGCUCGCCGUCUACACAACACUGAAUGGGAGGUCUGGACGCACACGCCGCUCGCCGUCUACACAACACAGAAUGGGAGAUCUGGACGCACACGGCGCUCGCCGUCUACACAACACUGAAUGGGAGAUCUGGACGCACACGCCGCUCGCCGUCUACACAACACUGAAUGGGAGAUCUGGACGCACACGCCGCUCGCCGUCUACACAUCACUGAAUGGGAGAUCUGGACGCACACGCCGCUCGCCAUCUACACAACAAUAAAUGGGAGGUCUGGACGCACACGCCGCUCGCCGUCUACACAACACUGAAUGGGAGAUCUGGACGCACACGCCGCUCGCCGUCUACACAACACUGAAUGGGAGAUCUGGACGCACACGCUGCUCGCCGUCUACACAACACUGAAUGGGAGAUCUGGACGCACACGCCGCUCGCCGUCUACACAACACUGAAUGGGAGAUCUGGACGCACACGCCGCUCGCCGUCUACACAACACUGAAUGGGAGAUCUGGACGCACACGCCGCUCGCCGUCUACACAACACUGAAUGGGAGAUCUGGACGCACACGCCGCUCGCCGUCUACACAACAAUGAAUGGGAGAUCUGGACGCACACGCUGCUCGCCGUCUACACAACACUGAAUGGGAGAUCUGGACGCACACGCCGCUCGCCAUCUACACAACACUAAAUGGGAGAGCUGGACGCACACGCCACUCGCCGUCUACACAACACUGAAUGGGAGGUCUGGACGCACACGCCGCUCGCCGUCUACACAACACUGAAUGGGAGAUCUGGACGCACACGCCGCUCGCCGUCUACACAACACUGAAUGGGAGAUCUGGACGCACACGCCGCUCGCCGUCUACACAACACUGAAUGGGAGAUCUGGACGCACACGCCGCUCGCCGUCUACACAACAAUGAAUGGGAGAUCUGGACGCACACGCUGCUCGCCGUCUACACAACACUGAAUGGGAGAUCUGGACGCACACGCCGCUCGCCAUCUACACAACACUAAAUGGGAGAGCUGGACGCACACGCCACUCGCCGUCUACACAACACUGAAUGGGAGAUCUGGACGCACACGGCGUUCGCCGUCUACACAACAAUGAAUGGGAGAUCUGGACGCACACGCCGCUCGCCGUCUACACAACACUGAAUGGGAGAUCUGGACGCACACGGCGCCGUGUUGUUUUUGGUUCACACGAAAAGACGAUGUGUGAUUAUUGUAUCCUCUCCACACCCGCCGCACACCAAACAGCCGGGU